Molecule: ribosomal RNA, 497 nt
Filed under: uncultured bacterium
Lineage: Bacteria
Description: partial 16S ribosomal RNA
Rfam family: Bacterial small subunit ribosomal RNA
Source: RNAcentral
GAUGAACGCUGGCGGCGUGCCUAAUACAUGCAAGUCGAGCGAACAGACGAGGAGCUUGCUCCUCUGACGUUAGCGGCGGACGGGUGAGUAACACGUGGAUAACCUACCUCUAAGACUGGGAUAACUUCGGGAAACCGGAGCUAAUACCGGAUAAUAUAUUGAACCGCAUGGUUCAAUAGUUAAAGACGGUUUUGCUGUCACUUAUAGAUGGAUCCGCGCCGCAUUAGCUAGUUGGUAAGGUACCGGCUUACCAAGGCAACGAUGCGUAGCCGACCUGAGAGGGUGAUCGGCAACACUGGAACUGAGACACGGUCCAGACUCCUACGGGAGGCAGCAGUAGGGAAUCUUCCGCAAUGGGCGAAAGCUUGACGGAGCAACGCCGCGUGAGUGAUGAAGGUCUUCGGAUCGUAAAACUCUGUUAUUAGGGAAGAACAAAUGUGUAAGUAACUAUGCACGUCUUGACGGUACCUAAUCAGAAAGCCACGGCUAACUACGUG